Molecule: ribosomal RNA, 495 nt
Filed under: uncultured bacterium
Lineage: Bacteria
Description: partial 16S ribosomal RNA
Rfam family: Bacterial small subunit ribosomal RNA
Source: RNAcentral
GAUGAACGCUGGCGGCGUGCUUAACACAUGCGAGUCGAACGAAGCACCUCUCCCCAAGUUUCACACAGCUUGCUGGAGAUUGAGUCAGUUAAGCUUACUGAGUCUCCGACGGGUGAGUAACGCGUGUGUAACCUGCCUCGCUGAUACCGACUACAGAUUUAAACGACUGCUAAUACCGCAUAAUAAUAAGAUUUCGCCUGUUUUCUUCUUUAACGGUUUAUCUUUAUGAGAUGGACGCGCGUCGGAUUAGCUAGUUGGUGAGGUAACGGCUUACCAAGGGGACGAUCAGUAGCCGGAUUGAGAGAGUGGACGGACACACUGGGAGUGGGACACGGAGCAAACUCCUGCGGGAGGAAGAAGUGCGGAAUAUUGCACGAUGGGGGAAAGAAUGAUGCAGCGAGGCCGUAUGAGUGAAGAAGUAGUUAGGUAUGUAAAGCUGUAUGAGCAGCGAAGAUAGUGACGGUACCUGACUAGGAAGCCACGGCUAACUACGUG